GGCUCUGUGGUGAAGUUCAUAGUGAGUUGCAAGCUCAUUGAUGUGCCUUAAUCGGGUACCGGAGUCU
This 67-nucleotide transfer RNA is filed under the name Sylviparus modestus (yellow-browed tit). RNAcentral's name for it is "tRNA-Cys". Lineage: Eukaryota; Metazoa; Chordata; Aves; Passeriformes; Paridae. The record is from RNAcentral.